GGGCUGGGGCUCAGCGGUAGAGCACUCCCCUAGCACGAGCGAGGCCCUGGGUUCAAUCCUCAGCACCACA
RNAcentral lists this transfer RNA (70 nucleotides) under Marmota monax (woodchuck). RNAcentral describes it as "tRNA.Ala". The record is from RNAcentral. Lineage: Eukaryota; Metazoa; Chordata; Mammalia; Rodentia; Sciuridae.